UUGUGGAUUCACUUCAUGCCUUUUGCCAUCUACAAUAGCUGGGUCUCCCCUAAGUAUAGUUUAUUCAAAAAUUCCUACUGUGGAUUUGUUGUCUCCAGUUUUGCUCAGUAUUUUCAGCUCCAGAGGAUCCUAAAGGUCAAAGAAGUGUGAUCUCAUUCCAUCCUUAUAAUUUGAGGACCUUACUCUUCGUGGACCUGAGAGUAAUCUCUUUAAAUUGUCUCAUUCUCUUUAAAGGUAAGAGGAAUAUAUUUUCCCCCGGUUUUACAGUCAUCUGACUCAGAUGCUGCAGGAUAUUAGAAUAAAUCUGUAGUUGUUAUUUUUCUUCAUUUAAGAGAUGGCUGCCUAAAUUAUAACCUUGGCCAUGGUACAUGAACUGAAUGUUUUUCCAUCUGUUUGUUUCCUCUCUUAUUUCCUUGAGCAGUGGUUUGUAGUUCUCCUUGAAGAGGUCCUUUACAUCCUUUGUUAACUGUAUUCCUAGGUAUUUUAUUCUUUUUGUAGCAAUUGUGAAUGGCAAUUUGUUCUUGAUGUGGGUCUCUUUAAGUCUGUUAUUGGUGUAUACAAAUGCUUGUGAUUUCUCCACAUUGAUUGUAUCCUGAGACUUUGCUGAAGUUGCUUAUCAGUUUCAGGAGAUUUUGGGCUGAGAUGAUGGGGUCUUCUAAAUAUAUAAUCACGUUGUCUGCAAAUAGAGACAAUGUGACUUCCUCCUUUCCUAAUUGAAUACUCUUUAUUUCUUUUUCUUGCCUGAUUGCUCUGGCUAGAACUUCCAGUACUAUAUUGAAUAGGAGUGGUGAGAGAGGGCAUCAUUGUUUAGUGCCAAAUUUCAAAGGGAAUGCUUCCAGUUUUUGCACAUUCAGUAUGAUAUUGGCUGUGGGUUUGUCGUAAAUAGCUUUUAUUAUUUUGAGAUACAUUCCAUUAAUAACUAGUUUAUUGAGGAUUUUUAGCAUAAAGCACUGUUGAAUUUUUGUCAAAGGCCUCUGCAUCUAUUGAGAUAAUCAUGUGGUUUUUGUCUUUGGUUCUGUUUAUGUGGUGGAUUAUGUUUAUAGACUUGCAUAUGUUGAAUCAGCCUUGCAUCCCCGGGAUGAAGCCUACUUGAUCAGGAUGGAUAAGCUUUUUGAUGUGCUGUUGCAAUCAGUUUGUCAGUAUUUUACUGAAGAUUUUUGCAGCUAUGUUCAUCAUGAAUACUGGCCUGAAGUUUUCUUUUCUUGUUGAGUUUCUGUAGGGUUUUGAUAUCAGGAUGAUGUUGGUCUCAUUAAAUGAUUUGGGAAGGAUUCCCUCAUCUUGGAUUGUUUGGAAUAGUUUCAGAAGGAGUGGUACCAGCUCCUCUUUGUAUGUCUGGUAGAAUUCAGCUGUGAAUACAUCUGGACCUAGGCUUUUUUGGUUGGUAGGCUAUUAAUUGCUGUCUCAACUUCAGCCCUUGUUAUUGGUUUAUUCAGGGUUUCGACUUCUUCCUGGCUUAGGCUUGGGAGGGUGCAAGUGUCCAGAAAUUUAUCCAUUUCUUCUGGGUUUACUGGUUUAUGUGCAUAGAGUUGUUUAUAGUAAUCUCUGGUGAUGUUUGUAUUUCUGUGGAAUCUGUGGUGAUAUCCCCUUUAUUAUUUUUUAUUGCAUCUAUUUGAAUCUUCUCUAUUUUCUUUUUUAUUAAUCUGGCUAGUGGUCUGCCUGCUUUGUUGAUCUUUUCAAAAAACCAGCUCCUGGAUUUAGGAAGAAUAAAUAUUGUGAAAAUGGCCAUACUGCCCAUAGUAAUUUAUACAUUCAAUGCUAUCCCCAUCAAGCUACCUAUAACUCUCUUGACAGAACUGGAAGAGUUUAAACCACCUUAAACUUCAUAUGGAACCAAAAGAGAGCCCACAUAGCCAAGUCAAUUCUAAGCAAAAAUAACAAAGCCGGAAGCAUCACGCUACCUGGCUUUAAACUAUACUACGAGGCUACAGUAAUCAAAGCAUCAUGGUACUGGUGCCAAAUCAGAGGUAUAGACUAAUGGAACAGAAUAGAGGACUUGGAGGCAACACCACACAUCUACAACCAUCUGAUCUUUGACAAACCUGACAAAAACAAGCAAUGGGGGAAAGGAUUCCUUGUUUAAUAAAUGGU
This is a long non-coding RNA of Callithrix jacchus (white-tufted-ear marmoset), 2088 nucleotides long. NCBI's taxonomy places the organism in Eukaryota, Metazoa, Chordata, Mammalia, Primates, Cebidae. The record is from Ensembl.